Molecule: ribosomal RNA, 36 nt
Filed under: Heuchera cylindrica var. glabella
Lineage: Eukaryota; Viridiplantae; Streptophyta; Magnoliopsida; Saxifragales; Saxifragaceae
Description: partial 18S ribosomal RNA
Source: RNAcentral
AUCCUUCCGUAGGGUGAACAUGCGGAAGGAUCAUUG